UACUGAGCAAAAGUGAAGGAUUGUCUUUGGGUUUUUUGGGUUUUUCUUGUAUUUUGUUGUAGUUUGGCAUUUUUUGUUCGUACAUCAAAACAAUCCAUUUAAUGCAUUUGUAACUUGUUACUUAAAGUGUAAUAACUAAUAUUUCACUGUAUUUUGUGUAAUAUGUUAUAUUCCUCAGUUACUGAAAAAAGUAAUAUAUUUAUGUAACUUGUUACUUUUGUAAUACAUUACCCUCAACACUGAACCUGAACAUGACGACGCCAGAGCAAUGUUUUGGGAUUUGUAAUGGACUCGUCCCAUGAACACAACACAAGGUAAGAAAAAGCUUUAGUGAAAGUUAUUCUGAAGAGAAAUACUGUAUGUCGGAGAACUUCUGAAAUACUCUAGCUCUGUUGUGUGCACUGCAGUGUGUGCACUCUUGGGUGUUAUUUAAAUAUAUAUUUGCAAUUGGAAAUAACCUACACAAAUACGUAGUGCUGUGAUAUAAUGCGAGAUUGCAAAAGCGUUUUGGAGAUACACUUUUAUGUUGAUCAAAACAUUAAAAUAUUUACCAAUGAGCAUUUAUUUCAAACAAUAAGUGUUUAAUGCACUUGUAGUCCUUUCUCGGUCAUAUUUGAUGAUUUUUUUUACCAUUUAAUUUGCUCAAAUAAUAUAAUCACCUGACCUGAACCAUUCACCUGCAGCGUCUCGAUUUAACAUUGACUUGAUCAGGUUCUAAUGCAACCCUUUGAGUAAAACUCCGUCACUUUUUUCAUGAUCACUUUUCUCUCUCUCUCAUUACUUAAUUAUUGGGAAUUUUAGGUUAUUUGUCUAUUUCUUUUUUUAUUAUUUGUGGAUUUCACUUUACUUCGCACACCUCUCGUUCUGGAACAGGUGCAUAAGAAAAGGCACAGUGUACAAAACAUUUUUUCUUGUUUUCCGCUUUCUAAACCAAAAAACAACAAAAGUCACACGAGGCUCAAAGUUUUGCUUCAGGCGGGUCACCAGGUGGUUUCACUGUGGUCUUUGUUUCUGAAAACAAAUAAACAGAGUGAACGUUCCAAUA
RNAcentral lists this long non-coding RNA (1045 nucleotides) under Neogobius melanostomus (round goby). Its description in RNAcentral is "lncRNA (ENSNMLG00000012655.1)". Lineage: Eukaryota; Metazoa; Chordata; Actinopteri; Gobiiformes; Gobiidae. The record is from RNAcentral.